This 459-nucleotide ribosomal RNA is filed under the name uncultured bacterium. RNAcentral's name for it is "bacterial SSU rRNA". It matches the Rfam family "Bacterial small subunit ribosomal RNA", at positions 30 to 504 of the family's 1533-position model. The record is from RNAcentral.
UGAACGCUGGCGGCGUGCUUAACACAUGCAAGUCGAACGGUAGCAGAAGAGAGCUUGCUUUCUUGCUGACGAGUGGCGCACGGGUGAGUAAUGCAUAGGUAACGUGCCCCUUAGUCUGGGAUAGCCACUGGAAACGGUGAAUAAUACCGGAUACUCCUUCUACCUUGAUGGUAGUCGGGAAAGUUUUUCGCUAAGGGAUCGGCCUAUGUCCUAUCAGGUAGUUGGUGAGGUAAAGGCUCACCAAGCCUAUGACGGGUAGCGGGUCUGAGAGGAUGAUCCGCCACACUGGUACUGAGACACGGACCAGACUCCUACGGGAGGCAGCAGUGGGGAAUAUUGCACAAUGGACGAAAGUCUGAUGCAGCAACGCCGCGUGGAGGAUGACACAUUUCGGUGCGUAAACUCCUUUUAUAUGAGAAGAUAAUGACGGUAUCAUAUGAAUAAGCACCGGCUAACUCC